GUGAUCCGAACUGCAGCUUAUUUUUGUGCUCGUUCCUCUUUAGUGCUUGCCUUUCUGCCUUUCCUAACUCUUGUGUAAUGUUUUGGCCAAGGUCAGACCGCAACCAUCAUGGGAUCGUACAUGUACAGCAGCAGCGGCAAUAGGCCUCCUCGAUGAGCUGCAUGACCUUCCAAAUUUUGUUUUCUAUGGAUUGGAUAAACAGGCUAAAGCAAUUGAAGAUGCAGUGAAGGUUUUGUUAGAAGCACUUACAGCUCGACGGCUGCGCAUGGGUAGGUCCAUCACCCGUAAACAAAGACACAAUCGCGACAUCCUUUAACAAUGGUAGCAGUUGUU
This 333-nucleotide long non-coding RNA is filed under the name Nicotiana benthamiana. Its description in RNAcentral is "long non-coding RNA (NBEN_LNC033292)". Lineage: Eukaryota; Viridiplantae; Streptophyta; Magnoliopsida; Solanales; Solanaceae. The record is from RNAcentral.